GUAGGUGAACCUGCGGAAGGAUCAUUACAAAUUAGUUGUGGAUUUUGGGUGGUGAAGUGUGAAUACAUUGCGCGCUACUCAUUGUCCAUUAUAGCCCACUCCUGAAAGGGAGAUGGACGCGCUAGUGCUAGUUCGCUGGCGCAAAUAGACCUUAAAUCAUGACUUAUUCCAAAAAGAAAAUAACCAAAACUUUUAACAAUGGAUCUCUUGGCUCUU
This 216-nucleotide unclassified non-coding RNA is filed under the name rhizosphere metagenome. Its description in RNAcentral is "partial ribosomal RNA internal transcribed spacer region". The record is from RNAcentral.